This 4036-nucleotide long non-coding RNA is filed under the name Sus scrofa (pig). RNAcentral's name for it is "lncRNA (ENSSSCG00015013309.1)". Lineage: Eukaryota; Metazoa; Chordata; Mammalia; Artiodactyla; Suidae. The record is from RNAcentral.
UUUUUUUUUUUUUUUUUUCUUUUUAGGGCCACAUCUACAGCAUAUGGAAAUUCCCAGGCUAGGGGUCUGAUAGGAGCUACAGCUGCCAGCCUACAACACAGUUACAGCAGCACCAGAUCUGAGCCACUUCUGUGACCCAUACUACAGCUCAUGGCAACACUGGAUCCUUAACCCACUGAGCAAGGCCAGGGAUUGAACCUGCAUCUUCAUGGAUUCUAGUUGGGUUCAUUACUGCUGAGCCACGAUGGGAACUCCCUCUAUAACUCUUGAGGAAUAAGAAAGAGGAGAAGAAAUACAAGUACAUAAUUUUGAUUUCAUAAUGUUUAGGUUUACAUCUACACCAAGGAAAAAUAUUCUUGGAGGAAAAGAUAACUCCAUUACCAGUUUAAGCAUUCUCUAGAAAAUUCUAUAAGCAGAGAAAUGAUACUGAGGGAUGCAAAGAAAGAUAUUUAUAGUGACUAGAAAUAUCAGGCUACAGAUGUUUUCAAGGCAGCAGGACUAUUCACUUUUUGUUUCACCUUUUCUUUUCUCUUUCCUAUGUCAGUGUAAAGGGAAUUAUUUCAAAAGUUAAGCAGGUUGCUGGUGCAUAAAUUCUUCCUGUUGAUAGUUAACGUAAAACACAGAAAUGACACCUCAUUUUUCCUGCCUCUUGGAAAUGUAGAGAAUUCACAGAAUGCAGAGGUCUUGAGUAGGACGGAGCAUCAGCACGAGUUACUGUGGGUUUUCAAGCCCACUGUGCACCUUAGGCUGGACAUGCACCCCCACUCUCCUUCCUUCCUUAGAGCUCCAGGCAUGGGUGUAUGGCUCUCUCAUCCUUGCACUUUCAAAUGGUUUAUUUCUUAUUAUUUGUUUUUCUGAAUUAAGCAGUUCUUGAAGGCCGCAUGGACCCGCUCCAGCAGUUGUUGACAGAAUCGUCUCUACUGUCAGCCUUGUGUUCUGCCCUUCUGUUUUCCUGAAAAACGCUUUUACAAGAAGACACGCUUUCCAUGUCACAUUAGAAAGUCAAAUGGCUCUUUUAUAAAUUCUAUCCUUUGGUUGGAAAUCAUGCCCAGAUGCCAGCUCUCUUCUUGUGCCAAUAAGUAUCUCUUUUGCAUAAAAUGUGAAUCAUCUUGACUUCUUACCCCUCCCCCCAGCAUAGGGGCUAGCCAGGGCUGGUGUAGACAAGUGUGUUUUGUCAGGGCUGAUUUCCUGGGAACAAAACUAGGGUGGGAUUCAUACCCAAGUUCAAAUACAAUCAAGGUUCAACGAGUAAAUAAAUGCAGGCAUUACUCUCAAAGGUCAGAGGUAGGGCUGAAGUUAGGCUUCUAAAGCCAGAAGUAGGACUUGAGUGGAACCACAGUGAACCAAGGAAAAAUGUGUGGCCCGAAGGGGUACAGGUCUCAAAAAUUGGAGAAUGUAAAUGUUAGUGAAUGGGUGGGUCAGGCUAUCGAAAAAGGCCAAAAGCAGAGGUGAAGUUGGGCAGUGGUUAAGAUUAAGAAUGGACAGUUUUUAGUUUUUUUUUUUUUUUUUUUAAGAAACUUAUUGAACAGAAGACAAAAUGAACAGAAGACUGAAACAGAAGAUCUGAAACUAUAAAAACCCUAGGAGCAUACAAAAGGGGAAAACUUCAAGAAUGAAUCUUGGGAAUAAUUUCUUGGCCAUGACACCAGAAGCACAGAUGAUAAAAGCAAAAAUAGACAAGUGGGGGAGUUCCCAUCGUGGCUCAGAGGAAAUGGAUCUGACUAGUAUUGGUGAGGAUGCAGGUUCGAGUCCUAUCCCUGGCCUCGCUCAGUGGGUUAAGGAUUCAGUGUUGCCACGAGCUGUGGUGUAGGUCACAGACAUGGCUCAGAUCUGGUGUUGCUGUGGCUAUGGUUUAGGCCGGCAGCUACAGCUCUGAUUGGAUCCCUAGCCUGGGAACCCCCAUAUGCCAUGAAUGGGACCCUAAAAAAAAAAAAAAGACAAGUGGGAUCACAUCAAACUAAAAGUUUCUCUGUAGAGCAGGAAGGAAAAUAACAGAGUAAAAAAGGCAACCUACUGAAUGGGAUAAAAUGUUUGUAAACCAUAUACCUGAUAAGAAGUUAUGAUCCAAAAAAUACACAAAAUGUCUUCAGUUCAAAAGCAUUUUAAAAAAACCAUUUUUAUUUAUUUACUUUCCCUUUGGCCACACCCAUGGCAUAUGGAAGUUCCUGGGCCAGGGAUCAAAUCCAAGCCGCAGCUGUGACCUAUGCCCCAGCUGAGGCAAUGCUGGACCUUUAAUCCACUGAGCCACAGCAGGAACUCAAAAACCCCUCAUUUUAAAAAUGAGCACAAGACAUGAAUAGAGAUUUUUCCAAAGAAGACACGCAGAUGGACAAUAUGUUUGUGAAAAGAUGCUUCAAUCACUAAUAAUCAGGAAAAUGCAAAUGAAUUCCUGAAAUAUCACAGUCUGUACAAUGAGAUGUCACCUCAUACUUGUCAGGAUGGCUAUUGUCAUGAAAGAAGGAAAGAAAGAGCGAGAGAAAGAAAGAAAGAGAGAGAGGGAGGGAGGGAGGGAGGAAGAGGGAGGGAAGAAGAAAGGUAACAAACAUUGACAAAGAUGUGAUGAAAGGGAACCCUUGCACAUUGCAGUUGGUGGGAAGGUGAAAUGCUGUAGCCACUGUGGGAAACAGUGUGGAAGUCUCCAAAAAAUUAAAUAGAACCACCAUAUGAUCCAGUAAUCCCUUUUCUGAGGAUUCAUCUAAAGUAAUUGAAAUCAGGAUCUUGAAGAAAUAAUUGUAGUCCCAUAUUCAUUGCAUCAUUAUUUACAAUAGAUAACAUGUGGAAACAACAUAAACAUCCAUCCACAAGUGGAUAAGGAAAAUGCGGUAUAUAUACAGAGUGAAAUAUUCCUUAAAUAAGAAGGAAAUUUUGCUAUAUGCAACAAUUCGGAUGUGCUGUGAGGACACUGCGCUAAGAGAAAUAAGCCAGUCACAAAAGGACAAAUACUGCAUGAUUCCACUUAUAUGAGAUCUCUAAAAUAGUCAAAUAUACCGAAACAGAUAGUAGGAUGGACGUGGCCAGAGCUCAGGGUAGGCGAAAGGGGAGGUGCUGUUCAACAAGUAUAAAGUUUCUGUUAUACAAGAUAAUUAAGUUCUAGGGAUCUGCUGUACCUCGUACCUGUAGUUAACUAUACUGUACUGUACACUUAGAAAUUUGUCUCAGGAGUUCCUAUCAUGGCUCAGCCGAAAUGAAUCUGACUAGUAUCCAUGAGGACGCAGGUUCAAUCCCUGGCCUCACUCAUCAGUGGGUUAAGGAUCUGGCAUUGCCAUGAGUUGUGGUGUAGGUCGCAGACACGGCUUGGAUCCUACAGCCGAAAUGAAUCUGACUAGUAUCCAUGAGGAUGCANAAAAAAAAAAAAAAAAAAAAAAUUUGUCCGGAGGGUAGAUCUCACGUUAAGUAUUCUUAUCGCUGUAAAAAAAAUCUUACUGAUUUUCUUGUCAUACCAGCAUGAUCUUUAUAGUAAAUCUGGAAGGUAUUUUAAGCACAACAAGAAAAAUAAAAAUCAUCCACAAAUCUAUCAAUAAGUCCAAUCAUCAGAGAAAGAUGAAUGUCUGGAGUGCAGUGCUAUCCUGAUUACCAUCAUGGUUUAUUGAACACUUACUAUGUAUGGGAAGCUGAUUUCAUGGCUUUAUAUCUUAUUACUUUGUUUCAUUCUCAAAGUACUCCUGUGAGGUAGGAAUUAUUAUUAACCCCAUUUUGCACAUGAGGAAACUCAGGCACUGUAUUUAGGUAACAUUACAAUGCUACCCAGUGGCAACUGAUGGAGUCAGGAAUCAAAACUAGAUUGUUUAGUAGGAGUUCCUGGGUGGCCAGGCAGCUCAGGAUCCAGUGUUGUCACGGCUGUGGCUCUGGUUACUGCUAUGGUGCGGGUGUGAUACCUGGCCUGGGAACUAUCCCACGCUGUGGGCUCAGCCAAACAAACAAAAAACACUAGGUUGUUUGGCUCUAGAGCACGAAUGUCAGAUAAUUUAAUUCUAGAAUAAACAAUACAUUCACACAAAUUAAAUGAAUGUAGAAGGUAUGUAGUAAAAGUCUGUGC